AUGAGCAGGCUUCCAAGUGGUGUCAUAGCUGGAGAGGCAGAUAGGCAGAGUGGCAGACAUGGGAUCAAAGUCUGUCACUUUUAUAGCAACAUCAACCUCUCAACUCUCAUUUCCAGAGAUCCUUCCCUAUACCCAGGAAGAAGGAAUGCUACACAGAGAAGCCAGGAAGAAUCUGAACACACAGGCCUUGCUGGGAUACUCCCCUCAGUCUGUUACCACGAGAUCAUAACUUUUGUCCACUCACAUCUUUACAUGGCUGGUCAUUCUUCAUUGAACCUAAGCAUAAAAAUAGACAGUAUUCCCUGGGUCUUUGGGUCUUCAUUUCUGAAGGUUCCUAUAUCAAGUGAAAUUUUGAUUAAAUAAAUUUGUUAUUAUUUUCUCAUGUUAACCUGUCUUUUGUUAUAAGAGUGUUGUCUGUGACCCUUAUGAUGAAUGAGGACUUUCCACCCCUGCAAUACUGUAUGAGAGUAGACAAGAGUUAGUCCUCCUGUCUUCUUCCUCUAUGGCAAGAGCUUUGAACCAUGUGACUUUAAGAUGCCCACUAUUUCUGAAGGGUCUAUGAUUCUCUGACAUCUGACUCAUAAGCCAUGUUUCUCCACAUACACGCCUUUGGAGUAAGAUUUGUAUCUUUGGUCAGAAGAACUUUCAAACAUGUUCUCAUGUUAUCAGAAUCUUUUUUUACCUCUUUAUUACAAUAUGGCCUCCUCCGUGUUCUCCUCUGUGUGUUUGGUACCACACUUUUACAUAAGCUUCACUCCUCCUCCAUGCAGGGGUGACCAAGCUCUGACGGAGUGAGCAGCACUGAUUUAGAAAGUCAGGUGAAAGCCCAUCAGGAGCUGUCACUGCUGAGCCUGGGAUGCCAGACCACAGGGCAACUGCACAGGUGCUCGACUGAAUGGGAACCAAGGUCUGUGACGAGGGCAGCUCCCGUGCUGAGAUUCUAGGCGUCAGCAGCCAGCAGCGCUCACUGUCAGGGAAGAGCACACGGGCUCAAUCCUGGCAGAACCUAAGCUGGUGCUUUCUCAACUCCCAAGGCCAAUGUGGGAAACCGUCCUGCACAAAAUCCCUCUGCAGGUGUUCAGGACAGCUGACAGGGUAGAGGAAGCAAAACCGAAAGGAGGAAUGUGAUCAAGUAGUUUGCUUAAUUGUGUGCAUAACUAUUUGUAUAUUCAUUCAU
RNAcentral lists this long non-coding RNA (1177 nucleotides) under Papio anubis (olive baboon). Its description in RNAcentral is "lncRNA (ENSPANG00000049698.1)". Lineage: Eukaryota; Metazoa; Chordata; Mammalia; Primates; Cercopithecidae. The record is from RNAcentral.